RNAcentral lists this ribosomal RNA (402 nucleotides) under uncultured prokaryote. Its description in RNAcentral is "bacterial SSU rRNA". It matches the Rfam family "Bacterial small subunit ribosomal RNA", at positions 355 to 774 of the family's 1533-position model. The record is from RNAcentral.
UAGGGAAUAUUAGUAAUGGGCGAAAGCCUGAACUAGCAACACCGCGUGUGCGAAGAAGGCCUUCGGGUUGUAAAGUGCUUUUUGAGAGGAUGAGGAAGGACAGUACUCUUAGAAUAAGCUUCGGCUAACUACGUGCCAGCAGCCGCGGUAAAACGUAGGAAGCGAGCGUUAUCCGGAUUUACUGGGCGUAAAGCGUGUGUAGGCGGUUUGAUAAGUUGGAUGUGAAAGCUCCUGGCUUAACUGGGAGAGGUCGUUCAAAACUAUCAGACUCGAGAGUGGUAGAGGGAGGUGGAAUUCCGGGUGUAGUGGUGAAAUGCGUAGAUAUCCGGAGGAACACCAGUGGCGAAAGCGGCCUCCUGGCCCAUUUCUGACGCUCAGACACGAAAGCUAAGGUAGCAAACG